Molecule: ribosomal RNA, 253 nt
Filed under: uncultured bacterium
Lineage: Bacteria
Description: partial 16S ribosomal RNA
Rfam family: Bacterial small subunit ribosomal RNA
Source: RNAcentral
UACGUAGGGAGCGAGCGUUAUCCGGAAUUAUUGGGCGUAAAGGGUGCGUAGAUGGUUGAUAUAAGUCUUUUGUAAAAAUGCUAGGCUCAACCUAGUAGGGCAAAAGAUACUGAUGAACUAGAGUACGGCAGAGGCAAGUGGAACUACAUGUGUAGCGGUGAAAUGCGUAGAUAUAUGGAGGAACACCAGUGGCGAAGGCGGCGAUCUGGGGUGCAACUGACGCUCAGUCCCGAAAGCGUGGGGAGCAAAUAGG